This 69-nucleotide transfer RNA is filed under the name Marmota monax (woodchuck). RNAcentral describes it as "tRNA.Ala". Lineage: Eukaryota; Metazoa; Chordata; Mammalia; Rodentia; Sciuridae. The record is from RNAcentral.
GGGGUAGUGGCUCAGUGGUAGAGCACUUGCCUAGCACGUGUGGCACUGGGUUCAUUCCCCAGCACCACA